This 300-nucleotide long non-coding RNA is filed under the name Mytilus galloprovincialis (Mediterranean mussel). The record is from RNAcentral. Lineage: Eukaryota; Metazoa; Mollusca; Bivalvia; Mytilida; Mytilidae.
GUUGGCCUUUUGUGUACCCAAGGCAGGUGAAGGAAGUCAAAUUAGGAGCGCUGUGAUUGGAUGUAAGGGUACAAUAAUUUUUUUAUUUAUCUAUGAAUAACUGCAGUGUGUAUAUUUACAAUAUAAAUUUUAAAACCUAUUGAAAUAUUUUCUAGAGAAUUAUUCGAAAAGACUUGCAAAAUUUCAUAAAUUUGGUGCAAAAUGACGGUGGGCAUGGAUAACAUAAACAAGUUCCGUUGGAAGUUGGUCAUGAUACUAUUUGGCUUUAAUUUUUAAAACAGAGUAAUAAAAUACUAACAC